Molecule: non-coding RNA, 126 nt
Filed under: Oxyrrhis marina
Lineage: Eukaryota; Dinophyceae; Oxyrrhinales; Oxyrrhinaceae
Source: RNAcentral
GAUCCUUCCGGGGUGAAGUGCUCCGAUUGCUGCGCCGGGCUUCGCCCUUUCAUGGUGCAUGGUGUGAAUUUGAGAACACUUGAUUCUGACGUGAUGUCCCUCCCCAGCCCGACUGUCAACGAGUUU